GGCGCCUGGGGAAGAGAAACAUUGUAAGUAUCCAGGGUUCGUGCAGGUCCUUGAACUCCUUGAAAAGUUCUUGAAUUUGAAAUCCCUUUUCAAGGGCACUUGAAACUCCUGAAAAAUAGGUGAAUCUCCUUAAAAAAUCGUGAAUUCUUCUUAAGAAAGAUCCUAUAACCAAUAUGUAACGAAACAAACGACGAUAUUUCAUAAUUUUUUUUUAUGAAAAGUGCGUCUGUCGUCUUUUCCGAACCUGCCUAUCUCCCUGUGGUAAGUUUUUCCCGCGCUUGGAUGUCACGUGACAGCUUGCAACCUCGAAUUUCCCUUCGAGGCAUUCGAGCAUCGACAGGUGCUUUUUAAACACGCACGCGCACUAUAAAAGGGAGCUCCCUAGGAAAGCUCCGAAAAAUCUGUCAAUCAAAUCAGUUGAGUCAAGACUUCAAAGCGUGCGGACGUGUUUCACGGAGCUCCCGACAAACCAGCAAAUGAGUCGAGCUACAGUGCAAACCUAUCCAAGUGCACAAAGUUUGGAGCCAAAGUUCCAAUGCAUCUCCUCAAACCACUACUCCUACUAAUACUAGCUCUCCACUACCAGUACAAUGUUAAUAUUUGUUUAUUGUAAAUACCUGGAUUAGGCAUGAUCAAGUGUGCUUUACAUGCACAGACUGAUCUAUGCAGUUUACAA
This is a long non-coding RNA of Nematostella vectensis (starlet sea anemone), 676 nucleotides long. RefSeq lists it as uncharacterized. The record is from RefSeq and is a predicted model, not a curated record. The transcript is spliced from 2 exons. Lineage: Eukaryota; Metazoa; Cnidaria; Anthozoa; Actiniaria; Edwardsiidae.